AUAAUACUCCCUCCGUCCGGAAAUACUUGUCCUCGAAAUGGUUGUAUCUAGACUUAUUUUAGUUAUAGAUACAUUUAUUUUAUCCAUUUUUAGGACAAAUAUUUUCAGAAGGAGGGAAUAUGUU
Molecule: non-coding RNA, 124 nt
Organism: Triticum aestivum (bread wheat)
Lineage: Eukaryota; Viridiplantae; Streptophyta; Magnoliopsida; Poales; Poaceae
Source: Rfam